Molecule: ribosomal RNA, 495 nt
Filed under: uncultured bacterium
Lineage: Bacteria
Description: partial 16S ribosomal RNA
Rfam family: Bacterial small subunit ribosomal RNA
Source: RNAcentral
GAUGAACGCUGGCGGCGUGCCUAAUACAUGCAAGUCGAACGCUGAAGGAGGAGCUUGCUCUUCUGGAUGAGUUGCGAACGGGUGAGUAACGCGUAGGUAACCUGCCUGGUAGCGGGGGAUAACUAUUGGAAACGAUAGCUAAUACCGCAUGACAACAGUUAUUGCAUGAUAACUGUUUAAAAGGGGCAACUGCUCCACUACCAGAUGGACCUGCGUUGUAUUAGCUAGUUGGUGAGGUAACGGCUCACCAAGGCGACGAUACAUAGCCGACCUGAGAGGGGGAUCGGCCAAACUGGGACGGAGACACGGCCCAGACUCCUACGGGAGGCAGCAGGAGGGAAUCUUCGGCAAUGGACGGAAGUCUGACCGAGCAACGCCGCGUGAGGGAAGAAGGGUGUCGGAUCGGAAAGCUCUGUUGUAAGAGAAGAACGAGUGUGAGAGUGGAAAGUUCACACUGUGACGGUAUCUGACCAGAAAGGGACGGCUAACUACGUG